Molecule: long non-coding RNA, 2967 nt
Filed under: Homo sapiens (human)
Lineage: Eukaryota; Metazoa; Chordata; Mammalia; Primates; Hominidae
Description: HSALNT0342453
Source: RNAcentral
CCUGGGUCUGGAGCAAAACUGCUGAGGUUUGAGGCCCCGUUUUGCUGCUCACUAGCUACAUGAUCUUGGGCAAGUUAUUUAAGCUCUCUGAGCUUCAGUUUCUUCCUCUGCAGAAUGGGGAUGAAAGUGGACUACUACCUCAUGGCAUGUUUUGAGGAUGAAAUGAGCUAAUAAACACAGUCUUCAGCCCUACAUUAGGAUGGCCUAAGGAAAACAAGAAGACUGAAUGAUAUUCCCUGGUUCUCACUCUGUCAUCCAAGCUAGAGUGCAGUGGGGUAAAACACGGCUCACUGCAGCCUCGAUCUCUUGGCUCAAGCUAUCCUCCUGCCUCAGCCUCCUGUUUAUCUGGGACCACAGCUGACUUAUAUAAGUUAUUAGUCUUCUAGAAGGAUCACAAGGAACCAGCAUCAAAGAAAUGGAAUCCAGCUAAUUCCCCCAAGAAACUGAAGUUUUCGGGACAUGACUUGUGAAAGGCAAACAUAAGCUGACAUCUUUUCACACUGAACAGCAAGAGCCAAAGUGUAUCCGAAAAGCCAUUGUCAAAACAAGGAGUGAGAACAGCUGGGGUCAAGACCUAAUGAAGGGCAUCACUCAGCCUCUUUGAGCCUCGGAUUCCUCAUUUGUAAAGUGGGCAUAAUAAUACCUCACAGGGUAGUUAUGAGGGCAAAUGAGAUAAUGGACACGAAGGCACCUGUACACUCCACGGUGCUAUCAGAAUAUUGACUAUUAGUGCUUUCAUCACGCGGCUCCAUCCAAACCCCUGCUUUCCCUCACUCCAACAGGCUUUUACUCUGUCACCCAUGCUGGAGUGCAGUGGUGCAAUCUUGGCUCACUGAAACCUCUGCCUCCUGGAUUCAAGCGAUCCUCCCACCUCAGCCUCCCGAGUAGCUGGGACUACAGAAAUUAUUCCUUUGCAGGUGGUGCAAAGGAUCAGCACGGGAGUUUUGACCUGCUCCGUUUCCGACCUGGGUCGGUUCACCCCUCCUUAGGCAACCUGGCGGUUCCCCGCUCCAGGGAGGUCACCCUCUUGAUGCUGAAUUUAGCACGGACACCUGAUGGGCACAGUGCACUGCAGCCCAGAGCUCCUGAGCUCAAGCCAUCCUCCUGCCUCAGCCUCCAAGUAGCCAGGACCACAGGCACGCACCCUGAGGAGGAAGAAAUACCAGGUGCGCAUGCUCCAAGAAAAAGCCAUCUGAGGACGCGGCAAGAAGGCCGCCAUCUACAAGCCAAGGAGAGGGGCCUCAGGAGAAAUCGAACCUGUCACACCUUGAUCUUGGACUUCCAGCCUUCAGAACUGUGAGAAAGUAAAUUUCUGUGUUCAAGCUACCAGGUCUGUGGGAUUUUUUAUGGCAGCCCUAGCAGACUAAGACAGGCAUCAAUGGUUCCAAUGUUUUCAUUUUUUUUCCGGUAAGCAGACCGAAGCCCAGAGAGAUGAAGCAAUUUGCCCAAAGUCACAUACCAAGUUAACUGAAGAGUUGGGGUUAGAAUCCAGCUCUUGUGACUUCUCUCUUUUCAGUUUCCCUUCCCACUCCCCCCACUGAAAAGCUUUUGAGUGACUCUUUUAGAAAUCCCGGUUCUGUAUAUGAAGCAGAAUUGAGCACAGCUGCUCUAAUGAAGGGCUCAGAGCUCCCAGGCUUUUCUCUCUCCCCUGCCCCUUUUCCCUGUUGCACCUCUGCAGUGUCCUGAGGGUUGAUGGAAUCUAGUUUGAAAGCUAUUGCUCUACCUCACUGCCUCCUGAAUGCAAUGUCACAAAUUUUCCCAACUUGCCAUUUCUCUCACACUGACAUAAAGCAUUAGAAACCUGUUGUGAAGUAGGAAAGCUAACUGGGUCAGUAGCUGAUAAGAUAAUCUGGCCUAGGGGAUAGAUGAUUAGGAUUUCAGAGAAGGAAAGGUCACCCAAUUGAUUUGACUCUGUCCUGGGGCGAUGAUAUGGUGAAGAUUUCUACAGAUGCAGCAGAAACAUCCGGAAACCAGGUGUGUCCCAGCUCUGGUCUGGGAACCAUUUCAUAAAUUGGCAAAUAUCCAGGAUAUACACAUGGCUAAUUCUGAGGUGUACUGAAGUUUCAAUAAAGCUACUUUGGUAAUGACUAGGAGAAGAAAAUCCUAUGGCUGGACUUCAUUAAUGUUGUAUGGCCAAGGACAGUGUUUCUCUAAUUAUGGCCUGUGAACCUCCCUGGAUCUCGAUCACCUGCAUAUUUGGGAAUAUGCAGGUUCCAGGGUCCCACCUGAAACUACAGAAUCAGUAUUGAGAUCCCAGGUGAUUCUCAUGUACACUCAAGUGUAAGAUUAUUAGCACCUGGACUUUGGAAGCAGCCAGAUAAAAGUUUGGAUCCUGGGUUGGCUACUUCCUAGAUGUGGCCAAGUCAUUUUACUUGCCAUGCUUUUGCUUUUCUUGUCUGUAAAGUGGACAUGAUACCUAUUUUACAGGGUGGUUUUGAGGAAUAAGGUCAGCAUUAAACAUUUAUCCUCUUUAGGGAGACAGAGAGAGGAGAUGAAAUAGAGUAGAAUUGAGAAAAGCAGUUUCUUAGACCUCCCUGUGAAGUUUUUCUUAUUUCAACAAAUAAUAAAAUAAAAAAUUCAUACACUUUCUUAGUGCUUGUUUGGACUUAAGAAUUUAAAAAUAACUUGAGAGUUUUAUAGGCAUCAAGGAUGAUGUCUGAGUGCUGGAAAUACUUGACCUUUGGCUGGAAGGUGGAGUGAAGGUGCCAGCGGACUGAACCCUGGGAGACUGUCUUCUGUUUUAUGAAUGUGGUCAUGCUCUGAGUUAAAUGAUGUCCCUGGUAAGGACAUCUCCCAGAAAAGCUUAGAAAUCAGCUGUAAUCCUUGUUCCCUGCAAGACCCUUGACUUGGAUGUUAAGAGUUCCCUAUAAUGAUAAUAGCUACCUUUACUGAGCACUACUUGUUAGCCAGGCAUUGUGCUAAGUGCUUUAUGUGCAUUAUGUUAUGCAAUCCUGCAAAUACCGUUAC